RNAcentral lists this transfer RNA (75 nucleotides) under Candidatus Kinetoplastidibacterium kentomonadis. RNAcentral's name for it is "Candidatus Kinetoplastibacterium sorsogonicusi tRNA-Arg". It matches the Rfam family "tRNA". Rfam says of the family: Transfer RNA (tRNA) molecules are approximately 80 nucleotides in length. Their secondary structure includes four short double-helical elements and three loops (D, anti-codon, and T loops). Further hydrogen bonds mediate the characteristic L-shaped molecular structure. tRNAs have two regions of fundamental functional importance: the anti-codon, which is responsible for specific mRNA codon recognition, and the 3' end, to which the tRNAs corresponding amino acid is attached (by aminoacyl-tRNA synthetases). tRNAs cope with the degeneracy of the genetic code in two manners: having more than one tRNA (with a specific anti-codon) for a particular amino acid; and 'wobble' base-pairing, i.e. permitting non-standard base-pairing at the 3rd anti-codon position. The record is from RNAcentral. Lineage: Bacteria; Pseudomonadati; Pseudomonadota; Betaproteobacteria.
CUCACCGUAGUUAAAUGGAUAUAACAGAUUCCUCCUAAGAAUCAAUCAGUGGUUCGAUUCCACUCGGUGAGACCA